This 164-nucleotide ribosomal RNA is filed under the name uncultured bacterium. RNAcentral's name for it is "partial 16S ribosomal RNA". It matches the Rfam family "Bacterial small subunit ribosomal RNA", at positions 355 to 511 of the family's 1533-position model. The record is from RNAcentral.
UAGGGAAUCUUCCACAAUGGACGAAAGUACUGAUGGAGCAACGCCGCGUGAGUGAAGAAGGGUUUCGGCUCGUAAACUCUGUUGUUAAAGAAGAACAUAUCUGAGAGUAACUGUUCAGGUAUUGACGGUAUUUAACCAGAAAGCCACGGCUAACUACGUGCCAG